AUGCAGUUGUUGGAGAUGCUCGGUUUAGCAGAGACAUUGAGAGAGAGAGAGAGAGAUGGAGCCCUUGGCCUUCUGUCACAAGAGCUGGCAAAUGGCCCGCCCGGCUAGCCCUGCCCUAGCCAGUCCCAGAGCCACAGAUCUGGGAUCUGCCAGCCGUGCUAUUUGCCUCACCGAGUGGGUCUACUCAUAGUUUUCCACGAGACUUGACAAGGAAGGAACAAACCCCACAACUCUAAAGCUUACUGAAGAUAAGGUGAAUCCCUUCACUCAAGGCUCUUUGUGAUCUGACAACUUUCUUUGGGAACAAAAGAAGCUGACAGGCGUCUUAAUGACUUCUCAUAGAUGCCUUAGUCACCCACAUGUUCACACGCUGGGUGUCACAUAGCACUGCAGUUAAAGGCCAGCUUGUGAGCAGUACCUUCUUUCAGUGGUACAUAAACUACAGGCUGAGCCCGGUGUGCAUACUUGUAACCUCAACUGUUCCGGUGGCCGAACCAGGAGAAUCACAAGUGUGAGACUGGCCUGCUUAGACUACAGAGUGACUUCAAGGCUAAAUUGAGCAACUUAAUGAGAUUGGCUCUCAAAAGAGUGAAAAAGAGCUGGGCAUGCAGCUUAGAAUCAAAGUAUUUCUCCAGCGUGUGUGAGCCUGAGGUUCAAUCCCCAGGACUGGGAAACAAAAACAAAGAAAUAAGAAAAGCUAACUGACUUCAUUUUCAUUUUGAGAGCAUCACUGCCCAUCACAGGAAAACAGUUCAUACAUCUGAAGAUGCCAAGAGGAACAAAAAAUUCCAUUGCCCCUUUAUCUAUGGAUAAACAUCUCGGCUGGUUCCAUUUCCAGGAUCUUGUGAAUGGCGCAGCAGUGAACACGGAAGGCGGGCGGCUGGCGUAAAGCUCACGCGUGGCGGUGGGGCUCAGGCGGCUUUUGGCAGAAAGAUUUAUAGUAACAGAC
RNAcentral lists this long non-coding RNA (949 nucleotides) under Cricetulus griseus (Chinese hamster). RNAcentral describes it as "lncRNA (ENSCGRG00015041628.1)". The record is from RNAcentral. Lineage: Eukaryota; Metazoa; Chordata; Mammalia; Rodentia; Cricetidae.